Molecule: ribosomal RNA, 403 nt
Filed under: uncultured bacterium
Lineage: Bacteria
Description: partial 16S ribosomal RNA
Rfam family: Bacterial small subunit ribosomal RNA
Source: RNAcentral
UGGGGUAUAUUGGACAAUGGGCGAAAGCCUGAUCCAGUAAUGUCGCGUGAGUGAUGAAGGCCUAUUGGGUUGUAAAGCUCUUUUGUCUGAGAAGAUAGUGACGGUAUCAGACGAAUAAGCACCGACUAACUACGUGCCAGCAGUCGCGGUAAUACGUAGGGUGCUAGUGUUGCUCGGAAUUACUAGGCGUAAAGCACAUGUAGGCGGACUUGUAAGCUAGUGGUGUAAUCCCUGAGCUCAACUCAGGAACUGCUUCUAGAACUGCGAGUCUCGAAUACGAUAGAGGACAGUGGAAUUCUUAGUGGAGGGGUUAAAUCCUUAGAUAUUAGGAAGAAUAUCGAAAGCGAAGGCAGCUGUCUGGGUCGUUAUUGACGCUGAGAUGUGACAGCGUGGGGAGCAAACA